Molecule: ribosomal RNA, 752 nt
Filed under: uncultured bacterium
Lineage: Bacteria
Description: bacterial SSU rRNA
Rfam family: Bacterial small subunit ribosomal RNA
Source: RNAcentral
AGAGUUUGAUCAUGGCUCAGAACGAACGCUGGCGGCAUGCCUAACACAUGCAAGUCGAACGUGAUCCAUGACUUCGGUUGUGGUGAAAGUGGCAAACGGGUGAGUAACGCGUGGGAACCUGCCCAGAGGUAGGGAAUAACUGCGGGAAACUGCGGCUAAUACCCUAUGUGCCCUGAGGGGCAAAGAUUUAUCGCCUUUGGAGGGGCCCGCGUCGGAUUAGGUAGUUGGUGGGGUAACGGCCUACCAAGCCAUCGAUCCGUAGCUGGUCUGAGAGGAUGAUCAGCCACACUGGGACUGAGAUACGGCCCAGACUCCUACGGGAGGCAGCAGUGGGGAAUAUUGGACAAUGGGGGCAACCCUGAUCCAGCAAUGCCGCGUGAGUGAUGAAGGCCUUCGGGUUGUAAAGCUCUUUCGGCGGGGAAGAUGAUGACGGUACCCGCAGAAGAAGCCCCGGCUAACUUCGUGCCAGCAGCCGCGGUAAUACGAGGGGGGCUAGCGUUGUUCGGAAUUACUGGGCGUAAAGGGCGCGUAGGCGGUGCUGUAAGUCAGGCGUGAAAUCCCCGGGCUCAACCUGGGAAUUGCGCAUGAUACUGCGGCGCUGGAAUGCGGGAGAGGAUGGCGGAAUUCCCAGUGUAGAGGUGAAAUUCGUAGAUAUUGGGAAGAACACCGGGCGAAGGCGGCCAUCUGGCCCGUAAUUGACGCUGAGGCGCGAAAGCGUGGGGAGCAAACAGGAUUAGAUACCCUAGUAGUCC